GACGAACGCUGGCGGCGUGCUUAACACAUGCAAGUCGAACGGAAAGGCCCUGCUUUUGUGGGGUGCUCGAGUGGCGAACGGGUGAGUAACACGUGAGUAACCUGCCCUUGACUUUGGGAUAACUUCAGGAAACUGGGGCUAAUACCGGAUAGGAGCUCCUGCUGCAUGGUGGGGGUUGGAAAGUUUCGGCGGUUGGGGCUGGACUCGCGGCUUAUCAGCUUGUUGGUGGGGUAGUGGCUUACCAAGGCUUUGACGGAUAGCCGACCUGAGAGGGUGAACGGCCACAUUGGGACUGAGAUACGGCCCAGACUCCUACGGGAGGCAGUAGUGGGGAAUAUUGCACAAUGGGCGGAAGCCUGAUGCAACAACGCCGCGUGCGGGAUAACGGCCUUCGGGUUGUAAACCGCUUUCGCCUGUGACGAAGCGUGAGUGACGGUAAUGGGUAAAGAAGCACCGGCUAACUACGUG
This 468-nucleotide ribosomal RNA is filed under the name uncultured bacterium. Its description in RNAcentral is "partial 16S ribosomal RNA". It matches the Rfam family "Bacterial small subunit ribosomal RNA", at positions 28 to 507 of the family's 1533-position model. The record is from RNAcentral.